CAGGCUUAACACAUGCAAGUCGAGCGCCCCGCAAGGGGAGCGGCAGACGGGUGAGUAACGCGUGGGAAUYUACCCUUGAMUACGGAAUAACGCAGGGAAACUUGUGCUAAUACCGUAUGUGUCCUUCGGGAGAAAGAUUUAUCGGUCAAGGAUGAGCCCGCGUUGGAUUAGYUAGUUGGUGGGGUAAAGGCCUACCAAGGCGACGAUCCAUAGCUG
RNAcentral lists this ribosomal RNA (216 nucleotides) under Rhizobium leguminosarum. Its description in RNAcentral is "partial 16S ribosomal RNA". It matches the Rfam family "Bacterial small subunit ribosomal RNA", at positions 43 to 289 of the family's 1533-position model. The record is from RNAcentral. Lineage: Bacteria; Pseudomonadati; Pseudomonadota; Alphaproteobacteria; Hyphomicrobiales; Rhizobiaceae.